This 253-nucleotide ribosomal RNA is filed under the name uncultured bacterium. RNAcentral's name for it is "partial 16S ribosomal RNA". It matches the Rfam family "Bacterial small subunit ribosomal RNA", at positions 524 to 776 of the family's 1533-position model. The record is from RNAcentral.
UACGGAGGGAGCAAGCGUUACUCGGAAUUAUUGGGCGUAAAGGGCGCGUAGGCGAUUUGAAAAGUCUUGUGUGAAAGCCCCGAGCUUAACUCGGGAAGUGCACAAGAAACUGUUGAAUUUGAGUUCCGGGGAGGAAGGCAGAAUUCCCGGUGUAGCGGUGAAAUGCGUAGAUAUCGGGAGGAAUACCAGUGGCGAAGGCGGCCUUCUGGACGGAUACUGACGCUGAGGCGCGAAAGCCAGGGGAGCAAACGGG